UUUUUUUUUUUUUUUUUUAAAGAUUUUAUUUAUUUAUUCAUGAGAGACACACAGAGAUAGAAGCAGAGACAUAGGAAGAGGGAGAAGCAGGCUCCCUGCAGGGAGCCUGAUGUGGGACUCGAUCCCGGGACUCCAGGAUCACGCCCUGAGCCAAAGGCAGACAUUCAACCACAGAGCCACCCAGGCGUCCCACUUAUGCCUGAUUUAAUAAAAUCUAAGAUGUUUCUAAAAUUCAAGUAGAAAAGCAAAUUUAUUUGAAGUUGCAAAACUGGAUUUUCCUCCAGAUACCAACUCUUUCUGCCCAGGGAUGGGUUUGUGUUUCCCCAAGGAGGGGUUUUUUUUUUUGUUUGAUUGAUUUAGACAGAAGCAAUCAUUCUAAUGAAACCCCUCUUUCAUAAUUUAUGUGUACAUAAUGACUAAAGUUGACUCAUUUACAGUGUUUUAUUUAGCCUAAUGUUCUGAUCCAGCAGCCAAUGGAUUCUGAGAAAGAGGCCAGUGUAGAGCAAUCUUCUUAAAGGUCUCUGAUUUCAAAUGACCCAUAAUAUGAAUGAGUAGAAAAGACAGAUCAAAGACAUCAAGAAAAGUCAUAAAGACUAGGGACCUGGAGACUUCAUGACUUGUCUACAGGGAUACAUGAGUAAUAGUGUAUGAUAAUAUACAUUAUUCUGAUCUGGCCAGUUCUUCCAGUUUUUAAAAACAAGCCAAAAAGCUUGAUUUUUAUGAGAGAUUUUUAUGUGUUUAAAUGUUAGCAAAUUUUCAUUAAAACACCUGUAGAUUAACCUGCAGGGGCCCACAGGCCAACUCUGAUUAAAAGUUGUAGGAUGGGGGUGCCUGGGUGACUCAGUUAAGCGUCUGACUCUUGAUCUCAGCUCAGUUCUUGAUCUCAGGGUCAUGAGUUCAAGCCCCACACUGAGUUCUGCACUGGACAUGUAGCCCUACUUCAAAAAAGUGGUGGGAAUUUGUAAAUAAUGGUGCAAUAAACAUAGGGGUGCACAUAUAUUUUCGAAUUAGUGUUUUCAUUUUCUUUGAUGAAUGGAUAAAGAUGUGCUACACACACACACACACACACACACACACACACACACAGGAAUAUUACCCAUAAAAAAUGAAAUGCCACUUUCAACAACAUGGGUAGGUCUAGAGAGCAUAAUGCUAAGUGAAAUAAGUCAGAGAAAGACAAAUACCAUGUCACUUUACUCAUAUAUGGAAUUUAAGGAAUAAAACAAAUGAACAAAGGAAAAAGAGACAAAAAAAUAGACUCUUAAAUACAGAGAACAAACUGAUGGUUGCCAGAUGGCAAGUAGAUGAAGAGGAAGGAGGCAGGGGAAUGAGUGAAACAGGUGGAGGGAAUUAAGAGUACACUUAUUGCGAUGAGCACUGAGUAAUAUAUAGAAUUGCUGAAUUGUUAUAUUGUACACCUGAAACUAAUAUAACACUGUGUUAAUGAUACUUGAACUUUAAAAAUAAAUUUUUUAAAAAGUGUGGGAAUUUGCACUUCAUUCACUGGAUGAUACAAUGUGAAUAAGCAGUCUGCAUCUAAAAUCUGCCUGAGAUCCCAAAUAAAUCACUUUUGCCAUGACUAAGGACUUCUAACCACCUCUCAAUCAGUAAGUCUAUGUCAUUAUCCCCCGUUACUUCACAGAGACUACAGGAUCAUGGGGAAUUAGGAUGUCCUAGAAGUAGCCUUCAUCCCUGUGACUGUCCACAUGUUUUGAAAUAACCCAGGUUCAGACUUUGGCUCCAACUAGAAACAUUUUAGUAGAGCUAGGAAAAACAGCUGUGAGGCUUAGGGGCUUGAAGUUGCAUUGCAUUUCCAAACAAAUUCAUAAGUAAGUUUUAAAAAAUACUUAAAUUAAAAAUGCCUUAGCUCGGGGGAUCCCUGGGUGGUGCAGCGGUUUAGCGCCUGCCUUUGGCCCAGGGCACGAUCCUGGAGACCCCGGAUUGAAUCCCACGUCGGGCUCCCGGUGCAUGGAGCCUGCUUGUGUCUCUGCCUCUCUCUCUCUCUCUCUCUCUCUCUCUCUUUGUGACUAUCAUAAAUAAAUAAAAAUUUUUUUUAAAAUGCCUUAGCUCAAAUUUUGACCAUCUUCAUCUCUACACACCCUACUGGGACAACCAGGGGCACUUCACUGCUAAUCAAUUUGAGAAAGAUCCCUUGAGAAAGACAUCAUUUACACAUUUUAAAGAGAAAAACAUUAGCUUUUCUCCUCAGAAUUCUCUGGGAAACAGUGCAGGUUUUUGGGGGAGAGGGGGUUGUAACAGUGAUAUUUUAAUAAUAAAUUUCAUGGCCAAAAAGACUUGAAGGAUAUCUGUCUGCUUAGACUUUAUAGUCUGGGUGGCUUAAACAAAAGAAAUUUAUUUCCUCACAGCGUCAGAGAUCAGAAGUCCAAGACCAAGGUGCCGGCUGACUCAGGUGCUGAUGAGGGCUCUCCUUGCUGACAGCCACCACCUCACCUGUCCUCCAUGGCUUCUCCUUGUUGCAUGCAUCUAUGGAAACUAAAUAAUUAAAGCAUCUCCUUUUUAAAAAUUAUAAGCCCUGGGGUGCCUGGGUGGCUCAGUCAGUUAAGCACCUGCUUUCGGCUCGGGUCAUGAUCCUGGGGUCCUGGGAUUGAGCCCCAUGUCAGGCUCCCUGCUCAGAGGGGAGUCUGCUUCUCCCUCUUCCUCUGUUCCUCCCCCUGCUCAUGCUCAUGCUCAUGCUGUGUGUGUGUCAAAUAAAUAAAAUCUUAAAAAAAAAAAAAAAAAGAAGUUGUAAGUCCUAAUGUUGGAUUUAUUUUAACUAAAUUACUUUAAAACCCUUACCCUGACCUACAGUCCUUUUAAACUCUAAUAAACAGUGUUUAAUUUUUACAUUCACUAGGCAUUCAUAAUGUCUCAACUUAAGUCUCUGAAACAAUUAUUCCUCUAUUGUUAAAUAAUCUCCAAGUUUCAGCUUUCCACAGUACCCUAAGGCAUCACUUACAAGAUGAACAACAGGUAUGGCUUUUAUCAGCAUUUUCUUUAGAGCUCUCUGAGAAGUCAUCAGUUUAUCAUUUCUACUAGAAGACUGAACUCAGUAACAUUGCAGACCUCUUGAUUUCACCUUUGUGCUUUGGGAAAUGAGCUACCUGACUGAACAAGUCUGGUUUUGAAGAAUAACUUGUAAUAUUUUCAGCUAUUUGUAAUUUUUAAAAAUGGAACCCCUUUCUUUACUUUUUUGAAAUAAUACUGAGAGAUGCCCUCAGGUACUCAGUUCCUCCCACCUCCCCUCUGAAUGCCUCGCAGCCAUGUCUGUCCUACCCACUGGCUGCAGCUGGUUCAUGGGCAGCUUGUUCAAGGCUGUACUGGCCUGAUCAAAUUUUUUUUCUCCCAAGAAUUCAGAAGAGAGACAGAGAAAGCCUCAGGCAGUUAAAAUAUGGAUGUCGGAUUUGAACAGACUUGUCACCCAAGAGUACUACUGAGGGCAACUCUGAUGAGUCAUAACCCAACAGCAAAGGAAGCCAGCCCUUAGAAAGUAAGCAGGAUGGAGCAGGUGUAUAGAGCAAAGCAAAGACAAGAGACUCCUGCAACCUAGAAAGACUUUCUCCAUGGUUCCCAGUUCCCAUCCGUCUGAGUAUCCACUGUAGUUAGGAAGACUUAGAGUGAAAUCAGUUCUUUACUGCUUUAAAAUAUAGUGCACAGGGCAGCCCACAUGGCCCAGAGCCGCCUUCAGCCCAGGGUGUGAUCCUGGAGACCCGGGAUCGAGUCCCACGUCGGGCUCCCUGCAUGGAGCCUGCUUCUCCCUCUGCCUGUGUCUCUGCCUCUCUCUUUCUCUCUCUCUCUCUCUCUCUCUCUCUCACGAAUAAAUAAACAGAAUCUUUAAAAAUAAAUAAAUAAAAAUAAAAUAAAAUAAAAUAAAAUAAAAUAAAAUAAAAUAUAAUACAGUGCACUGGUCCCCUGGGUGGCUCAGUCAGUUAAACAUCCAACUCUUGGUUUCAGCUCAGGUCAUGAUCUCAGGGUCAUGAGAUAGAGCCCCAAGUCAGGCUCUGUGCUCAGUGUGGAAUCUGCUUGUCCCUCUCCCUCUGCUCCCCCCCACCACUCGUACUCUUUCUCUCUAAAAUAAAUAAAUAAAAUCUUUAAAGGAAAAUAAAAUAUAGUGCGUUAAUAGAAAAUCUGACUCCAACAGAUUAAGAGACAACUGCCACUGCAAAGCUAGUUUGUUGCUCACAACUCUCAAGAGGAGGAAACCACAUGAGGAGGCACUGGGCUUGGUUGUGAAACAGAAAGAAGAGGGAACUGUGGGCAAAAGCCUCUAUUGUGGCUUCCAUGGGGAGUAACAGGUGAAGUAGGUAAAUAGGUCUAGGAUUAUCCGAGUAAUUCCAGCAGGAUGUGGGACACAGAAGCUGUCCCUAGUUGCCUAGUACUUGCCCUUGGGCUCAUGAAGGCAAGUGUGGAAUGGCCCAGGGUAUAAGAGUCUGAUAAAGAAGAUGGUUGGAAUGUGGACUCUGCAUCAGUUGGUCCAUAUUGGAAAAACAUGCCCCUGGAGAGGACUCCUGAGGAGCCUGCGGAGGGAAUGAGGGAGACAGGAGACCCAGGCAUAGUAUUGGGUUAUCCAGAACAAGGCAUGUUCAGUAUAUGCAUGUAGGUCAGAUGUUAAAGCAUCAAAUUU
Molecule: long non-coding RNA, 4621 nt
Filed under: Canis lupus familiaris (dog)
Lineage: Eukaryota; Metazoa; Chordata; Mammalia; Carnivora; Canidae
Description: lncRNA (ENSCAFG00845012645.1)
Source: RNAcentral